RNAcentral lists this ribosomal RNA (292 nucleotides) under uncultured bacterium. RNAcentral's name for it is "partial 16S ribosomal RNA". It matches the Rfam family "Bacterial small subunit ribosomal RNA", at positions 505 to 796 of the family's 1533-position model. The record is from RNAcentral.
GUGUCAGCAGCCGCGGUAAUACAGAGGUCUCAAGCGUUGUUCGGAUUCAUUGGGCGUAAAGGGUGCGUAGGUGGCUUGGUAAGUUGAAGGUGAAAUCUCGGAGCUCAACUCCGAAACUGCCUUCAAUACUGCCGAGCUGGAGGACUGUAGAGGAGAAUGGAAUUCACGGUGUAGCAGUGAAAUGCGUAGAUAUCGUGAGGAAGACCAGUGGCGAAGGCGAUUCUCUGGGCAGUUCCUGACACUGAGGCACGAAGGCCAGGGGAGCAAACGGGAUUAGAUACCCCGGUAGUCC